GCCAUUAUGGUGGAUACAACCCUCGGCUUGUAACUGAGUGGCCUCGGGUUCGAAUCCCGAAUGAGGCA
Molecule: non-coding RNA, 68 nt
Organism: Trichonephila inaurata madagascariensis
Lineage: Eukaryota; Metazoa; Arthropoda; Arachnida; Araneae; Nephilidae
Source: the annotation of a GenBank genome assembly